GGAGUGCCUUACUGUGGCACUCC
RNAcentral lists this small RNA (23 nucleotides) under synthetic construct. The record is from RNAcentral.